CGGACGGGUGAGUAAUGUCUGGGAAACUGCCCGAUGGAGGGGGAUAACUACUGGAAACGGUAGCUAAUACCGCAUAACGCCGCAAGACCAAAGAGGGGACCUUCGGGCCUCUUGCCAUCGGAUGUGCCCAGAUGGGAUUAGCUAGUAGGUGGGGUAACGGCUCACCUAGGCGACGAUCCCUAGCUGGUCUGAGAGGAUGAUCAGCCACACUGGGACUGAGACACGGCCCAG
Molecule: ribosomal RNA, 231 nt
Filed under: uncultured bacterium
Lineage: Bacteria
Description: partial 16S ribosomal RNA
Rfam family: Bacterial small subunit ribosomal RNA
Source: RNAcentral